AUUGAACGCUGGCGGCAGGCCUAACACAUGCAAGUCGAACGAGUGGCGGACGGGUGAGCAAUGUCUGGGAAACUGCCCGAUGGAGGGGGAUAACUACUGGAAACAGUAGCUAAUACCGCAUACCAUCGGAUGUGCCCAGAUGGGAUUAGCUAGUAGGUGUGGUAACGGCUCACCUAGGCGACGAUCCCUAGCUGGUCUGAGAGGAUGACCAGCCACACUGGAAAUGAGACACGGUCCAGCCACCUACGGGAGGCAGAAGUGGGUAAUAUUUCACAAGGGGCGCAAGCCGGAAGCAGCCAGGCCGCGUGUAUGAAGAAGGCCUUCGGGUUGUAAAGUACUUUCAGCGAAGAGGCGUUACUCGCAGAAGAAGCACCGGCUAACUCCGUGCCAGCAGCCGCGGUAAUUC
RNAcentral lists this ribosomal RNA (406 nucleotides) under uncultured bacterium. Its description in RNAcentral is "partial 16S ribosomal RNA". It matches the Rfam family "Bacterial small subunit ribosomal RNA", at positions 30 to 526 of the family's 1533-position model. The record is from RNAcentral.